This 301-nucleotide ribosomal RNA is filed under the name uncultured bacterium. RNAcentral describes it as "partial 16S ribosomal RNA". It matches the Rfam family "Bacterial small subunit ribosomal RNA", at positions 509 to 808 of the family's 1533-position model. The record is from RNAcentral.
CAGUAGCCGCGGUAAUACGUAGGUGGCAAGCGUUGUCCGGAAUUAUUGGGCGUAAAGCGCGCGCAGGCGGAUAGGUCAGUCUGUCUUAAAAGUUCGGGGCUUAACCCCGUGAUGGGAUGGAAGCUGCCAAUCUAGAGUAUCGGAGAGGAAAGUGGAAUUCCUAGUGUAGCGGUGAAAUGCGUAGAUAUUAGGAAGAACACCAGUGGCGAAGGCGACUUUCUGGACGAAAACUGACGCUGAGGCGCGAAAGCCAGGGGAGCGAACGGGAUUAGAUACCCCAGUAGUCCCUGUCUCUUAUACC